UUUAAUGUGUUUAAUUUUAUUUUUUCAGAGAAGUAGCUUUACUUUGGAAAUUGGAUCACAAAAAUGUUAUUAAAUUAAUUGAAGUCAUGAGUAAUGAGGAGAAACAAAAGAUAUAUCUGAUAUUUGAAUAUUGUGUUUCUGUGUUGCAAGAGCUUUUAGACUCAGUGCCUAAGAAAAAGUUUCCCAUUUGGCAAGCUCAUGGGUAUUUCUGCCAAUUACUAGAUGGAUUAGAUUAUUUGCAUGGGCAUGGAAUUAUUCACAAAGAUAUAAAGCCUGGAAACUUACUGCUUACAAACUGUGGAACUCUCAAGAUUUCAGACUUAGGAGUAGCGGAGGCAUUGGACAUUUAUAUUAGAGAUGAUACUUGUUUCACUAGUCAAGGUUCUCCUGCAUUUCAGCCACCUGAAAUUGCCAAUGGUGUGGAGCAGUUUUCUGGAUUUAAAGUUGAUAUUUGGUCAUCAGGUGUCACAUUGUUCAAUAUAACAACAGGAAAAUAUCCGUUUGAAGGAGAAAGCAUCUAUAAAUUGUACCAAAAUAUUGCUGAUUGUGAUGUUAUUAUCCCAAGUGAUCUUGAUUGCCCAUUACAAGAACUUCUGCAAGGAAUGUUGCAAAAGGAUCCUGAAUGCAGAAUGUGCCUUUAUGAAAUUCAGUCUCAUAACUGGGUCAAAAAGCCACCUGCAAAGUUGGGCCAGGGUGUACCAAUUCCAAUGCGCUCUGAUGGAGAUUUAAAUCGCAACACUACUGUAAUUCCUUAUUUGAAACUACUUCAUGGCUCUCAAGAAGUUUUAGAUUAUGAUGAAGAUGAGGAUUUAUUCUACAAAGUUAUUCCUUGAAAAAUAAUCCUUUUUUGAUGUGUAUAUUUUCCUUGAAUGUCUGGAAAACUUCAAAUUGUAUUUACCAUUACAAUAAUUCUACAGUUCCUACUGAAAGUGAUGCAGAAAAAAUUGAAAUGAAACAAUCAUGUCAAAGUAUUCCUGCCAGAAAGAAGCGUAAAAAAGUAAAAUGUGUGAAUAUUAGUUCAUGUAGGCAGUCUUAGUCUUAAAAUAAUUGGUGUAAAUUUUGAGUAUUAUAUUAAUACUUGUUAGAGCUAUGAAAUUUAUAAAAAUAAGGAUUGCAGGAUUUCCGGUGUAUACAGAUAUUAUAGUUUACAAUUUAUUCUUGUUAGUUUUUCAUAUUGAGCUUUUUUGUCUUGUGACAAUGUAAUACUAAGCAAUAAUUAUGUAUGUUGUCUGAAAGCAUUUACAAAUAUAUAUAUAUUCAUACAGUGUGACUUACAAGCUAUGUCAAUUAAUAUUUUAUCUAAAAAGUCUUUAUCUUAUAAUAAAUGAAAAUUCUUUCAAAAUGAA
Unclassified non-coding RNA from Parasteatoda tepidariorum (common house spider), 1346 nucleotides. The record is from RefSeq and is a predicted model, not a curated record. Lineage: Eukaryota; Metazoa; Arthropoda; Arachnida; Araneae; Theridiidae.